This 441-nucleotide ribosomal RNA is filed under the name uncultured bacterium. RNAcentral's name for it is "partial 16S ribosomal RNA". It matches the Rfam family "Bacterial small subunit ribosomal RNA", at positions 338 to 795 of the family's 1533-position model. The record is from RNAcentral.
CCUACGGGCGGCAGCAGUGGGGGAUAUUGCACAAUGGGGGGAACCCUGAUGCAGCGACGCCGCGUGGGUGAAGGAGCGUUUCGGCGCGUAAAGCCCUAUCGGCAGGGAAGAAGGAGGACGGUACCUGACUAAGAAGCCCCGGCUAACUACGUGCCAGCAGCCGCGGUAAUACGUAGGGGGCAAGCGUUAUCCGGAUUUACUGGGUGUAAAGGGGGCGCAGACGGCAGCGCAAGCCAGGAGUGAAAGCCCGGGGCCCAACCCCGGGACUGCUCUUGGAACUGCGCGGCUGGAGUGCAGGAGGGGCAGGCGGAAUUCCUGGUGUAGCGGUGAAAUGCAUAGAUAUCACGCAGAACUCCGAUUGCGAAGGCAGCAUACCGGCGCGCAACUGACGCUCAUGCACGAAAGCGUGGGUAUCGAACAGGAUUAGAUACCCCAGUAGUC